CCCCGGAGCCCUCUGGUCAAUCACUCACAAAAACUGAAGGGGAUUAUAGACCUGGAACCAUCAAAGGCUCCUGACGGGUCUUGGCGUAACGUUCGGCGGAGACACCAAAAGCCCGAGCAGCAAGAGCGAAGCGGCUGCGCGCGAGACCCUCCCCCGGCCCCGGCCCCGGCCCCGCAAGGAUCGACCCGGUGGGACGCGGCGUCUGCACCUCAUCCCAGGCCCAGCGCUCGCGACGAGCUCCUGAAGCCUGACGCAAGCGAGCCAAAUAGUCUCAUUAAAAAUGGGCAAAGGACCCGCACAGACCUGCAGCCCCCACCGCCCAGCAGGGCCCCCCCCACCGCCCAGGAGGGGCCCCCCAGCCCCACCGCCCAGCAGGGUCACCCCGCCCCCCACCGCCCAGCAGGGCCCCCCAAGCCCCACCGCCCAGCAGGGUCACCCCCCACCCAGCAGGGGCCCCCCACGACCCAGCAGGGCCCCCCCAGCUCCACUGCCCAGCAGGGCCCCCCCCACCACCGCCUGCGGGAACCCAGAGGCUGCGCCGCGGCCGGGCUGUAUGGGCCUGACCCGCAGCACCACCAGCUGCUUCUGCGGUCCCCCCUGGGUACACCGUCUCGAAGACACACGUGCACCUCCGGGGUCACUGCACAGUUGCCACGACGUGGGUCCACUGAUGGGUCAACGGAUGAGGAAAGUGUGGUGGACACUUGCCGCCCACGACGGUGGGUCACCCAGCCACACCAAGGAAGGGGGCCCGCCCUGGGACAAGUGGGUGGGCCCUGGGGACACCCCGCUGAGGGAGAAAAGUCAGACAGAAGUUGUAUGAUCUCACUGGCAUGUGGGGGCCAGAAAAACCAAAGGCACAGACAGAGAGCAGACUGCUGCUUGCAGGGAGGGGGGACGUUGAAGGUGGUCAAAGGACCAAAGGGUUCAAGCUUCCAGCAAGUCAUUUUUUUUCUUCCAGCAAGUUCUGAGGAUGUGAUACACAGCCUGACGACCACAGCCAACAACACCAUAUUGCAUAUUCCAAAGCUGCUAAGAGGGGAUCCCUGGGGGGCUCAGCGGUUUAGCUCUGCCUUUGGCCCAGGUCGUGAUCCUGGAGACCCAGGUUUGAGUCCCCCAUGGGGCUCCCUGCAUGGAACCUGCUCCUCCCUCUGCCUGUGUCUCUCAUGA
RNAcentral lists this long non-coding RNA (1170 nucleotides) under Canis lupus familiaris (dog). RNAcentral describes it as "lncRNA (ENSCAFG00040024864.1)". The record is from RNAcentral. Lineage: Eukaryota; Metazoa; Chordata; Mammalia; Carnivora; Canidae.